CCUGCGGAGGGAUCAUUACCGAGUUUACAACUCCCAAACCCCUGUGAACAUACCAAUUGUUGCCUCGGCGGAUCAGCCCGCUCCCGGUAAAACGGGACGGCCCGCCAGAGGACCCCUAAACUCUGUUUCUAUAUGUAACUUCUGAGUAAAACCAUAAAUAAAUCAAAACUUUCAACAACGGAUCUCUUGGUUCUGGCAUCGAUGAAGAACGCAGCAAAAUGCGAUAAGUAAUGUGAAUUGCAGAAUUCAGUGAAUCAUCGAAUCUUUGAACGCACAUUGCGCCCGCCAGUAUUCUGGCGGGCAUGCCUGUUCGAGCGUCAUUUCAACCCUCAAGCCCCCGGGUUUGGUGUUGGGGAUCGGCGAGCCCUUGCGGCAAGCCGGCCCCGAAAUCUAGUGGCGGUCUCGCUGCAGCUUCCAUUGCGUAGUAGUAAAACCCUCGCAACUGGUACGCGGCGCGGCCAAGCCGUUAAACCCCCAACUUCUGAAUGU
Molecule: small RNA, 489 nt
Filed under: Fusarium proliferatum
Lineage: Eukaryota; Fungi; Ascomycota; Sordariomycetes; Hypocreales; Nectriaceae
Description: eukaryotic LSU rRNA
Rfam family: 5.8S ribosomal RNA (bases 167-320)
Source: RNAcentral